Molecule: ribosomal RNA, 253 nt
Filed under: uncultured bacterium
Lineage: Bacteria
Description: partial 16S ribosomal RNA
Rfam family: Bacterial small subunit ribosomal RNA
Source: RNAcentral
UACGAAGGGGGCUAGCGUUGUUCGGAAUUAUUGGGCGUAAAGAGCUCGUAGGCGGUUUGUUGCGUCGGCUGUGAAAUCCCGAGGCUCAACCUCGGGUCUGCAGUCGAUACGAGCAAACUAGAGUGUUGCAGGGGAGACUGGAAUUCCUGGUGUAGCGGUGAAAUGCGCAGAUAUCAGGAGGAACACCGGUGGCGAAGGCGGCUUUCUGGACAGGUACUGACGCUGAGACGCGAAAGCGUGGGGAGCAAACGGG